UAGAAGACGAAGAAGAAGA
RNAcentral lists this small RNA (19 nucleotides) under Arabidopsis thaliana (thale cress). RNAcentral describes it as "ATSL011300". The record is from RNAcentral. Lineage: Eukaryota; Viridiplantae; Streptophyta; Magnoliopsida; Brassicales; Brassicaceae.